This 467-nucleotide ribosomal RNA is filed under the name uncultured bacterium. RNAcentral describes it as "partial 16S ribosomal RNA". It matches the Rfam family "Bacterial small subunit ribosomal RNA", at positions 28 to 507 of the family's 1533-position model. The record is from RNAcentral.
GACGAACGCUGGCGGCGUGUUAACCCCUGCCAGUCGCACGGAAAGGCCCUGCUUUUGUGGGGUGCCCGAGUGGCGAACGGGUGAGUAACACGUGAGUAACCUGCCCUUGACUUUGGGAUAACUUCAGGAAACUGGGGCUAAUACCGGAUAGGAGCUCCUGCUGCAUGGUGGGGGUUGGAAAGUUUCGGCGGUUGGGGAUGGACUCGCGGCUUAUCAGCUUGUUGGUGGGGUAGUGGCUUACCAAGGCUUUGACGGGUAGCCGGCCUGAGAGGGUGACCGGCCACAUUGGGACUGAGAUACGGCCCAGACUCCUACGGGAGGCAGCAGUGGGGAAUAUUGCACAAUGGGCGGAAGCCUGAUGCAGCAACGCCGCGUGCGGGAUGACGGCCUUCGGGUUGUAAACCGCUUUCGCCUGUGACGAAGCGUGAGUGACGGUAAUGGGUAAAGAAGCACCGGCUAACUACGUG